This 1455-nucleotide ribosomal RNA is filed under the name uncultured organism. RNAcentral describes it as "16S ribosomal RNA". It matches the Rfam family "Bacterial small subunit ribosomal RNA". The record is from RNAcentral.
CUAAUACAUGCAAGUAGAACGCUGAAGAGAGGAGCUUGCUCUUCUUGGAUGAGUUGCGAACGGGUGAGUAACGCGUAGGUAACCUGCCUUGUAGCGGGGGAUAACUAUUGGAAACGAUAGCUAAUACCGCAUAACAAUGGAUGACACAUGUCAUUUAUUUGAAAGGGGCAAUUGCUCCACUACAAGAUGGACCUGCGUUGUAUUAGCUAGUAGGUGAGGUAACGGCUCACCUAGGCGACGAUACAUAGCCGACCUGAGAGGGUGAUCGGCCACACUGGGACUGAGACACGGCCCAGACUCCUACGGGAGGCAGCAGUAGGGAAUCUUCGGCAAUGGGGGCAACCCUGACCGAGCAACGCCGCGUGAGUGAAGAAGGUUUUCGGAUCGUAAAGCUCUGUUGUAAGUCAAGAACGAGUGUGAGAGUGGAAAGUUCACACUGUGACGGUAGCUUACCAGAAAGGGACGGCUAACUACGUGCCAGCAGCCGCGGUAAUACGUAGGUCCCGAGCGUUGUCCGGAUUUAUUGGGCGUAAAGCGAGCGCAGGCGGUUUGAUAAGUCUGAAGUUAAAGGCUGUGGCUCAACCAUAGUUCGCUUUGGAAACUGUCAAACUUGAGUGCAGAAGGGGAGAGUGGAAUUCCAUGUGUAGCGGUGAAAUGCGUAGAUAUAUGGAGGAACACCGGUGGCGAAAGCGGCUCUCUGGUCUGUAACUGACGCUGAGGCUCGAAAGCGUGGGGAGCGAACAGGAUUAGAUACCCUGGUAGUCCACGCCGUAAACGAUGAGUGCUAGGUGUUGGAUCCUUUCCGGGAUUCAGUGCCGCAGCUAACGCAUUAAGCACUCCGCCUGGGGAGUACGACCGCAAGGUUGAAACUCAAAGGAAUUGACGGGGGCCCGCACAAGCGGUGGAGCAUGUGGUUUAAUUCGAAGCAACGCGAAGAACCUUACCAGGUCUUGACAUCCCGAUGCUAUUUCUAGAGAUAGAAAGUUACUUCGGUACAUCGGUGACAGGUGGUGCAUGGUUGUCGUCAGCUCGUGUCGUGAGAUGUUGGGUUAAGUCCCGCAACGAGCGCAACCCCUAUUGUUAGUUGCCAUCAUUCAGUUGGGCACUCUAGCGAGACUGCCGGUAAUAAACCGGAGGAAGGUGGGGAUGACGUCAAAUCAUCAUGCCCCUUAUGACCUGGGCUACACACGUGCUACAAUGGUUGGUACAACGAGUUGCGAGUCGGUGACGGCAAGCUAAUCUCUUAAAGCCAAUCUCAGUUCGGAUUGUAGGCUGCAACUCGCCUACAUGAAGUCGGAAUCGCUAGUAAUCGCGGAUCAGCACGCCGCGGUGAAUACGUUCCCGGGCCUUGUACACACCGCCCGUCACACCACGAGAGUUUGUAACACCCGAAGUCGGUGAGGUAACCUUUUGGAGCCAGCCGCCUAAGGUGGGAUAGAUGAUUGGGGUGAAGUC